GCACUGAGAUGGGAGUGGUGUAA
Molecule: non-coding RNA, 23 nt
Filed under: Mus musculus (house mouse)
Lineage: Eukaryota; Metazoa; Chordata; Mammalia; Rodentia; Muridae
Source: RNAcentral